CAGCCGCCACGGGAAUACGAAGGGGGCUAGCGUUGCUCGGAAUCACUGGGCGUAAAGGGUGCGUAGGCGGGUCUUUAAGUCAGGGGUGAAAUCCUGGAGCUCAACUCCAGAACUGCCUUUGAUACUGAAGAUCUUGAGUUCGGGAGAGGUGAGUGGAACUGCGAGUGUAGAGGUGAAAUUCGUAGAUAUUCGCAAGAACACCAGUGGCGAAGGCGGCUCACUGGCCCGAUACUGACGCUGAGGCACGAAAGCGUGGGGAGCAAACAGGAUUAGAGACCCCGGUAGUCCCUGUCUCUUAUAC
RNAcentral lists this ribosomal RNA (301 nucleotides) under uncultured bacterium. RNAcentral's name for it is "partial 16S ribosomal RNA". It matches the Rfam family "Bacterial small subunit ribosomal RNA", at positions 509 to 807 of the family's 1533-position model. The record is from RNAcentral.